Molecule: transfer RNA, 76 nt
Filed under: Acidihalobacter prosperus
Lineage: Bacteria; Pseudomonadati; Pseudomonadota; Gammaproteobacteria; Chromatiales; Ectothiorhodospiraceae
Also listed under: 20 other names
Rfam family: tRNA
About the family: Transfer RNA (tRNA) molecules are approximately 80 nucleotides in length. Their secondary structure includes four short double-helical elements and three loops (D, anti-codon, and T loops). Further hydrogen bonds mediate the characteristic L-shaped molecular structure. tRNAs have two regions of fundamental functional importance: the anti-codon, which is responsible for specific mRNA codon recognition, and the 3' end, to which the tRNAs corresponding amino acid is attached (by aminoacyl-tRNA synthetases). tRNAs cope with the degeneracy of the genetic code in two manners: having more than one tRNA (with a specific anti-codon) for a particular amino acid; and 'wobble' base-pairing, i.e. permitting non-standard base-pairing at the 3rd anti-codon position.
Source: RNAcentral
GGCCAGGUAGCUCAGUUGGUAGAGCAGGGGACUGAAAAUCCCCGUGUCGGCAGUUCGAUUCUGUCCCUGGCCACCA